RNAcentral lists this long non-coding RNA (12131 nucleotides) under Durio zibethinus. Its description in RNAcentral is "long non-coding RNA (DZIB_LNC001229)". The record is from RNAcentral. Lineage: Eukaryota; Viridiplantae; Streptophyta; Magnoliopsida; Malvales; Malvaceae.
CAGAAUUCUAUACCUAAUGUUGUUGGCCAGAAUUCCAACAUGCAAAACUUGUCUGAAAUUUCACAGAACUCACUGGGGCAAGGGAAAUCUUCCAAUAUUUUUACUAUUCAGUAGAGGCACAUGCAAGGAAGGCAAUGGGUGCUACGGCAACAGCAGCAGCAACAACCAUACCAUCAGCAGUUACAACAGCAACUUAUGAAGCAAAAGAUUCAACAAGGAAAUCUCCAGCCUUCACUUAUGCAGUUUCACAUGCCGCAACAGCAACAGCAAAACCUGUUACCACCUACUCAGUUGCGAUCUUGCCUGCAAUCUGGUAUGCAAACAUCAUCCGUUAUGCAGCCAUCUGCCAUGCAAUCAACUCCUCUUACUGGUUUUCAAAAGAAUCAGCAAUCUUCUCUACAAGAGUCAAUACAGUCCAUGCUUCAGCAGCAUCAACAGCCACAAGCGGCCACCAGUGUUGGUAUUCUUCAACAACAAACAGCAAUGACACUGCAGUCAAUGAUGCCUCAGCAGCAGCAACAACCUCCACAGCCACAGCAACGGCUGCAGCAGCCAAACAUAAUGGGACAACAGACAAAUGCUGCACAUAUAAAGCAGAAUCAGUUAAUUGGACAACAAAAUAGCAUUGCGGACAUGCAGCAGCAGAGAUUGCUAGGCCAGCCUAAUAAUCCUCCAAACCUGCAGCAGCAGCAUCAGUUAAUGGCUCAAGAAAACCUCUCAAAUAUCCAUCAGCAACUGUUGGGUCCUCAAAGUAAUAUUUCAGGAUUACGGCAACAGCAGCAGCAGCAAUUGAUUGGAACCCAAUUGGGUAACUCAAGCAUGCAAACUAAUGAGCACAUGCUACCCCAGCCUAAGGUUUCACUCCAACAAAGGCAGCAGAGUGCACCUAAUUUGUUACCAACUCAAGGACAGACAUCCCAGCAGCCACAGCAGCAGCAGCAGCACUGAUGUCACAGAUGCAAUUAAAGUCUACUCAGCUGCAGCAACAAUUGGGUUUGCAAUAGCAGCCCAAUCAAUUACACCAAAAUAUGCAGCCAAGGUUUCAUGCAUCAGGUCAACUAUCAUGUUCCCUGCUUCAAUCACAAAAUUUGAUAGAUCAGCAAAAGCAAUUGUAUCAAUCGCGCAGAGCUAUUCCAGAGACAUCAUCAAGUAUGUUUUUGAAUGCUUGCAGUUGCUUACUUUGUUCUUUCUUUGUUUCUUUCUGAUCUUGUGUUAUUUAACGAAUCUAUGCAAUUUUUCCUCUGAUACUAGCACAUUUUAUCCUUGAAGCCGGAAAAAAAUCUAUUUUCCCAUAUAGCUACUAUAGUUGAUGCUAUUGUUUUUCAUUGCAUUUCUAUUACAGAAAAUAAUUUCCAUUCCAACUUGGGGGGAUUAAGAGAAUAUCUUUUUGAACUUGCACUACGUUGUCCUAUCAAAGCACAUUUUGCCUAGAUGAUUAGUUCUUAGCUAACAAAGACAAAUGCUACCAAAAUUAAUGGCACCCUUGCCUUCAUAAGCUGAUCAUGGGCACUGCCUGGCUUUUUAUGCCACCAGAAACAUUGUUGUUACUGUGGAAAACUCAGAAAUAAAAUUGUGGAAAUCUAAGAGUAAAAACUGAAUGUAUAUUGAAAAACUGCUCAUUAAGAAUUAUACAAGAACCUUAGUUUAUAUACAACUAACUAGGGGUUAAACUAGGAAACUAAAUCUUUCUAAAAAUUGAUCAUAUGAUUGAGGGAUUGUCUAUUAUUGUCUUUAAUUCUAGGGAUACAAAUACUUAAUUCUAGAGAUACAAAAAUAAAUAUACAGAUUACAAAAUUACAACCAGCUGUAAAUAAGUGUUUUCUCACACCCCCCCUCAAGCUAGUGAAUGGGUGUUUUCCAUUCCCAACUUGGAAAUAAUUUCUUGAAAUAUUGCACUGCUGAGACAUUUAGUCAACACUUCUGUAAGUUGAUCCUUGGUUGAUACAUAAGGUGUACAAAUCAACCCACUGUCUAGUUUCUCUUUUAUGAAAUGCCGGUUUACUUCAAUGUUUUUUGAUCUGUCAUUGGUCCAUCCCACUUGAUAUUCAAGUCUUCUAGAAUAAUUUUUAACCAUAGUAGUUCACAAAUUCCUUGAGCCAUUGUUCUGAACUCUGCUUCAGCACUUGAUCUUGCAACCACAUUUUGUUUUAUACUCCUCCAAGUCACGAGAUUACCACUUAAGAAAGUGCAGUAGCUUGAUGUGGAUCUUCUAUCAGUAGCUGAACUUGUAUAAUCAACAUCUAUAUAUGUUUCUAGAACUAGCCCCGAAUUUCUUUUGAAUAAGAUACCUCUCCCAAGAUUGGCCUUCAAAUAAUGUAAUACACGGUAAACAGCCUGUAGGUGCACUUCUUUAGGACUAUGUAUGAAUUGACUUACCACACUCACAACAUAUGCUAUAUCAGGUCUAGCAUGUGAGAGAUAAAUGAGUCUUCCAAUUAAUCUUUGAUACAUCUCUCUAUCUACAGCAGCAUCUUCAUUAGCUUAUCCAAUUUUAUGAUUAAGAUCUAUAGGGGUAUUUACAGGUUUACAUGCGAGCUUCUCAGUUUUCUUCAGAAGAUCCAUCACAUAUUUCUGUUGUGAGAUGAAAAUAUCAUGCCGUGAGUGAGCUACUUCAAUUCCUAGGAAUUUUUUUAAUCUUCCUAGCUCAUCUAUCUCAAAUUCCCUAGCUAAAUACAAUUUUAGAGAUUUUCUCUCUUUUUUAUCAUCUCCAGUUACAAUUAUAUCAUCAACAUACACUAAUAGAAUUGUGACUCUCCCUGAAUUAGAGUGUUUGAUAAACAAUGUGUGAUCUCCUUGACUCUGUUUAUAUCCUAUUGCUAGCAUCACUUUGACAAAUCUCUUGUACCAGACCCUAAGAGACUGUUUAAGGCCAUAUAAAGCCUUUUUCAGUUUGCAUACUUUGUUUGCUUGUAGAUGACCUCCAAAUCCCGAUGAAACCUUCAUAUAUAUUUCUUCUUCCAAAUCUCCAAGUAGAAAAGCAUUUUUUACAUCAAAUUGUUGAAGCUACCAAUUGUAAUUUGCAGCCAAUGAUAACAAAAUCUUAACUGUAUUCAUCUUGGCAAUUGAAGCAAAGGUUUUCUGAUAAUCCACUCCAUAGGUUUAAGUGUAGCCCUUAGUCACUAAUCUGGCUUUAUACCUUUCAACAUUACCAUUUGCCUUGUAUUUUACAGUGAAAACCUAUUUACGUCCUCCUGACUUUUUUCUUUUAGGCAACUCUACCAGUUCUCAUGUCUUAUUUUUCUCUAAGGUCUCCAUUUUUAUUUUCAUGGAUUACCUCCAUUUUUCACUAAAUAAUGUCUCGGAUAAUGUAGUUGGAACAAAAAUAGUGUUUAGGCUCACUAAAAAAUUUUUGUAGAAUGAUGAGAAUUUUUCAAAUGGCACAAAAUUAGAGAUUUGGUAUAGUGACUGCUUAGUACAUUCUUUGGUUUCUUUCUUAAUGGCAAUAGAAAGAUCAUAAUCACUUGUUAUAGUUUUAAGAGAUUCAUGCUCAUUUUGAAAAAUAGAGUCAAAACUGUAGUUACCUCAUUUCUAGAGUUAAGAACAAGUUCUUAGUCUGGCAUUGGUUCAGGAUCUGAAACUUUUCUUCUUGAGUACAUUUGUAAUCCCUUCAUAGAAUCAAGAACAAUAUUAUCCUUUGUCACAUCUUCUGUGUUUGAAAUGGGUUCAGACUCAAAUUCAGUGUUUGACUUGGGCUCAGCAGAAACAGGUUUCCACUUAAGAAAAUUAAUGGGUGAAAAUGUUGAAGAGAAGGACAAAUUAAACAAAAAGAAGUCUUUAUCAUUAUCUUCCAUGAAUGAAGUCUCUCCCUGAAGAUAAAGUUGAGUAAAAAAUGGUUUACUUUCUUCAAAAGAGACAUCUGCAGAUACAUAUAAUUUUUUGGUAGGAAGAUGAUAACACUUAUACUUUUUCUGAGUCACAAAGAUACACUUAAUUGCUCUUGGAUGCAAUUUUCUUUUAUUAUGACUGUGAACAUGAACAAAUGAUGUACAACCAAAUAUCCUAGGUGUGAGGUUGUUUGGGUAUUGAGGUUGGGAUAGAAUUUUGAAAGUAGUUCCAUAGGAGUUUUAAAUCUUAAAACCUUUGAAGGUAACCUAUUUAUAAUGUGUGUGGCAAUGAGAACAGCUUUCCUUCUAGUAAGAUUUGGAUACAUUUGCUUAAAAAAGGAAGGCUCGGGUUGUGACUAGUAAAUCGUUAUUUUUUCUUUCUGCCACUCCAUUCUGCUCUGGAGUAUUAACACAAUAUGGCCCAUGAAUAAUCCUCUCUUUUUGAAAAUAAGUGGAUAGACUCUAGUUGAAAUAGUCUCUUGUAUUAUCAGACCUAAAUCUCAUGAUUCUCUUCAAAUUGAUUUUGGAUCAUGUUUUGGAAGCUUAAAAAUAUACUAUUCAUAUCUGAUUUGGAUUUAAAUAAAAAACUCAAAAGAUCCUGGUACAAUCAUCUAUGAAUGAAACAAAUCAUUUUGCACUAGAAAUAUUAGAAAUUGUAGAGGAACCCUAAAUGUCUCUAUGAAUCAAGUAAAAAAGAGUAGAACUUCUUUUGUUACUAAUUGAAAAAGACACACGUCUGUGCUUUGCAAGUUCACAAACAUCACAAUGAAAAUCUUUGAUGUUUAAUCCAUUGAACAAAGAAGGAAACAUGUUUUACAAAGUUCCAAAAGAAGGAUGUCUAAGACGAAAAUGAUAAAGCUAGAUUUUGUCUUUAGUGAAAGAUUUUUCAGAAAAAAAUGACAAAGGUAAAUUAUUCUUGAUAUUACUUGUGUUGUUUGAUGUCUCAAGAUGGUAUAGUCUAUCCUUCUCUUUAGCAAGUCCAAUCUUUUUCUCCGAACUCUGGUGCUGAAAUUCACAAUAAGAGGGAUAAAAAAUCACUUUACAGUUCAUAUCUUUGGUAAGUUUUUGUGUAGAUAUCAUAUUAGUAGACAAUCCAAGAAUAUGAAAAAUAUUUUUUAGAACAAAUGAGGGAUUAAUUUGAACAUCUCUUAAUCCUACCACUGUAACAAGUGAACCAUCUGUAACAACAAUUUUCUUAUUACUAGAACACAUGUUGUAUGUACUAAACUUCUGUGAAGAAUGUGUCAUAUAGUCCAUGGCUCAUGAGUCAAUGACUCAAGAACUCGUAAUAGGCUUAACCAAGACAUUUAAUCCAUGAGAACCAAAAAUUUUACCUGAACUAGAGACCUUACUCAAGGAACAUACUACAGUAGGCUUUUCAAGGGUUCAAUAGCUUUUUCAGCUUUUCAAUCUCUUCGCUGUUCAACUCUCAUUGUUUUCGAGACAUCUAUAAUACUUCAGUAAUUUUUUCAAUUGACAUUUUCUCAAAUUGGGUGGUGGUGAUAUCUUUCUUUGAACUGAAAGAAGUCUUAAGAUAUAAUUAGAAAUAACUCUUAGCAAUGAAGGCUGAAGAAGAGAAAAAUAAAAUGGUUAUGAAGGCUUUAACAGGGUUUGGCAAUGAAGGCCUAAGCAGGGUUCGACAAUGAAGGCCUAAAAAUAAAAGUCUACAAUGAAGGUUGAAAAAUUUUGCUUCCCAAGAAGAGCCUAAAGCUCUGAUACUAUGUGAAAAACUUAGAAAUAGAGCUAUGUGAAAAACUAAGAGUAAAAACUGAAUGUAUAUUGAAAAACUGCUCAUUAAGAAUUAUACAAGAACCUUUGUUUAUAUACAACUAACUAGUGGUUAAACUAGGAAACUAAAUCUUCCUAAAAAUUGUUCCUAUGAUUGAGGGAUUGUCUAUCAUUAUCCUUAAUUUUAGGGAUACAAACACUUAAUUCUAGAGAUACAAAAAUAAAUAUACAGAUUACAAGAUUACAACCAACUGUAAAUAAGUGUUUUCCCACAGUUACCACUGUCACUGCUAAGUCUCCACUGUUGUCACUGUGCUAUUAUGUUACUCUUAACACUUACUCUAGUUAUUUUGCAAUGAUUUUGUCAAACCACAAAGCAAUGGCUGGAUUUAAUCUAUUCAUUUUAUCAACAAAUAAUUCAUGCUGUUUUAUUCAACGAGUUUUCGUGUUUGGCUAUAAAACAUUCUUCUGGAAAUAAGUAAACUGUGUUUUGUGUGCAAAGAGAAGUGACCAUUUUGUUGGUUAAGCUCAAAGAGUAGAAACAAAUGCAUAAACUCACUCAUGCCCUUCAUAUUCAUUUGAAUUUUAGAAUAGUCGGAUAUUUCUAGCAGUUUGUUUGAUUAUGUCGGGUUGGUGUGAUUCCUUUGUCCGACUUAAAUAUUGUUGUUCUUUCUUGUAAUCUAGCUUUUAAAAAUGUUCCCACCACUUAAUUUAACAAAAAAUUAUGAUUAGGAGAUUGCAGUCCUGUUUGAGAACAGCUAGUUACUGUUUUUGUAUCAAAAUAGAGGGUAAACAUGCUUGCAAAUGUCAGAGGAGUUUUGUUUGAAUGAAGAAUGCAUAACGAAUGACUAGAUAAGCAAGUGGGUGACAGCAAGCUGGUUCAUGCACGCAUGAUGGUUAAAAGGGUGUCAAAACUCAAAAUUGUCUUAGUAGUGUUUUUGAUUUAGUCUAACGGCUUUUUAUUGAAACAUUAAAAUUUGGCUGUAGAUUUAAUUAAGUUCUGGAUAUGACCUAUAUUCCUUGAGUCUAAUUUGUCCCCUAAAUUUUUUUUAGUACUUUAGUUUGGCUCGCCCAUUAUUUUGCUUGACAAUAUUAUUUUUAAUGAAUAACAACGUCUGUAGCAGAAAAUUAGUUAACUUUUUUUAGGUCUUCCUUCUCAUGAUCACUUAAACUUAUCUAUCGUUUACUCCUGUUCCAACUGAACUUCUUUUUAUAGAUGGCAAAUGUAUAGUUAGCUUGUAACUUGAGAAACUCUAUAAGUAGCCUUGAAAAAUAAGAAUGAUGUUUGAACUUGGAGUUUGUCUCUGUGUCACAAUGGAAAGUCAAAAUUAAAAAAUUUUCUACUUUUGUAAGUGUACAUCUUAGAAUAUCCCAAAAGUAAAAGGCAGUGGAAAUGGGGUGUAGCGAUCAUGUUUUUAAUGAGUAACCUCUAAAAUUUGGAUACGCAUGGUUAGUUGCAGAAACUAGCAAUAAAAUUUUCUCAUAUGUCAAUGUCCAAAAUGUUUAAUGGUUUCUUCAAAUGCCUUUCAGUUGUAAGUCGUGGUGGGUCUGAUGGAAUUUUGGGACAUAGGAAUUGAUUAUUGGUUGCGUUAUGAUCCCUGUCGAUAUCCCCAUCAAUGCUAUGUGUACUUUAAUUUGCUUUCAGAGUUGGUUGUUUUUUGCUCAUAAUUUACCCUUCUUCCAUAAAUUAUCUAUUUCAAUGUUCUGUUACAUAUGCAACAAAAAUAAUGUACCUUCAAGCGAAUGGAACAAUUUUCUUUCAUUUAAAUUAUGUUUUCCUUGCGUAUUCUUCUUCCUUCAUAAAUUUCCAUUUUUCUUAUGUGUGUAGAAUUUAUUUAUCCUUUUCUUUUAGCAUCUUUGGAUUCCACAGCUUAAUCAGGACAUGCAAAUGGGGGUGAUUGGCAAGAAGAGGUCUAUCAAAAGGUAAAAACUAUCUUGACUUAUUCUCCUAUAGAUAUUAUUACAGUUUCAACUUGGUUUUAAGAAGGUUUUAGGUGUAGGAAAGUGGUUCUGAAAAAGAAUAUUAGAGUAUGUUGGGAUGCAUCUCAUAGCAGGAACCAUAAAACUGAAGAAGUAGGAACUUAAAACAAAUUUGGUAAAAGAAAUUCAGACAUUUUCUGAAUUACUUACUACUUUGUUAAUAAGAACUUGAAUUCUUUUGGCUUGUUCUUAGAAGAAAGAAAAUAAAGUUUAUUUAAAUCCUUCAGCUCUCUACUAAAGAUCUAUUAAAAUUGGUGAGCAAGAAGCCUUAGACCAAGGGUAUCUUGCAUACUUGACUUCAAAGUAAUCAUCAUUUAUCGACACCUUUGUUUCUUUUGUUAUUAACUAAUAUCAGCGCCUGCUAGUCAGAAAAUGGAAAAAUCUUAUUAUUUUUCUAAUAAAUCAUGACACUGGGAUAAAUUGAGUGGUUUAAUCGUUGGUUAAGCAUUUUGAUCCUGAUUUUAUGUUGCAGAUCAAGGCCAUGAAAGAGACAUACUUACCUGAAUUAAAUGAGAUGUACCAAAAAAUUGCUGCCAAGUUGCGGCAGGUAUGUUUAUUCUUUUACAUAAUCAUAUAUAUUCAUUCCCUAACCUCCAAGGAGUGAUAGAACCCAUCUGCCCCAUAGUCUGCCACCCUGUGUCUCUAAAUAGAAUUUAGAGAGGACUUUACUGCUCCACAUUAGAAAGCUGUUGAACCCAUACCACUUUUAGGUUGCUACUUGAAUCCCCUUACCAUAGACACUGUUUAGUGGUUGCACUUAUGCAUAUCUGUUGUAAUAGUGGUUUGUAGUUUUACUUGCAUCAGUUGAAACAAUUUUAUGUGUACGAUUUUCCAGCAUGAUUCUCUUCCACAGUAGCCAAAGUCAGAGCAGCUUGAAAAGUUAAAAAUGUUCAAGAUCUUGUUGGAGCACAUUAUAUCUUUCUUAUCAGUUCCCAAAGCCAGUAUCUUACCAACUUUCAAGGAUAAGUUGAGUUUGAAUGAGAAGCAGAUAGUAAAUUUUUUAAAUACCAGUAGGCCAAGGAAGGCAGUCUCAGCACGGCAGCAAGGACAGCUUCCUCAAUGAUAUGCAUUCCAUGCCGCAACCACAACCUCAAAUUAAUCAGACACAGUCUCAUGAUAAUCAAAUGAACCAUCAGUUGCUGUCAACGAAUUUACAAGGUUUUGUUCCAACAAUGCAGCGGAACAACAUGACAAGUUUGCAGUAUAAUUCUGUGUCUUCCUUACCUGGGGUUGCAACAGCGCAGCAGACCAUGUUAAAUUCCCUGCAGCCAAGUUCCAAUUUGGAUGCGGGACAAGGUAAUGGCCUAGGCUCAAUGCAUUCUCAGAAGCCUUGGUAGCAUUCUCAGAAGCCAACUAACAAUUAAUUCUUUAGUGAAUAGCAAUUGGUUGAGUAUUAGCAUUGCUUUCCACUGAUGUGCUGGUCUAGUGGUGAAAGUAGUGGUGUUUUAGUGAGUUACAGUCCUCCUUAGGUGCAUGACCAAUGGCCUAGGACAGAGAGAAAAAUCGGAAUCUUAAGAGCCUUGUGAAGAAGGGUUUCCUAGUAUUAGUAUUAAAUCAACCAAAUUGACAUCCAAUUGUAAAGUUGUGGUUUACAUAGCAAACCAUCAUGUUCAACUUAAGUCAUGGUUGUAGGGUGUCUGUGAGUGUCUAGUAACAUGUCUUGUCAUUUUGUAAGAGUGCGGCAAAUGAUGUAUACUGUCCACUUUAUCUUACAACAUUAACAAAAAUGAAAUCCUGCUCUUAUGUAUAAAUUUGUGGUUGCAAAAACUGUGUUUUACCCCGAGUUUCUUAUCAAGAGAAGGGGGUUGUUUACUGAAAAGAGCUUUGUCAAAUGUUUUGCAUAUUUGAGAAGUGAUUUGUGUCCAAACUUACAAGUUUUUCUUUUUCACUUCCUUUAAUAUAUGACAAAAAAUUUGAUGUGAAUUGUUUGUGACUUUUCUUUUCUCUUUUGAUGUUGUCAGAAUUUGAUGGAUACCAAUAACUGGAGGCCUACUCCUGCCAGUGGAGAGCCCACCAUGGAUACAGGUGAUUGGAGAACCCAGUUGCAGCCUGAUUCACGACAAAGAAUUGUCAACAAGAUGUAAGUGAAUUUUAUGGUAUUAUUAUUUGUUAAAUAUACUUGUUGUAUUUAAGUUACUGAUAUUCUGUGGCAUGUCUUUUACAGUUUCAAUAUUGUUAAUAACCAAACAAUACCAUCAAUAAAACCAUAUAUCCUAUUCUAGAGCGCAUUCUUUGUUUUGUAAAUACAUAGCUCGAAAAUCAAAGCUUGCUCUUACCCAGAGUUUGGGCACAAUAUAUGGAUCACGUAUCUGGAAGCCUGAUGUGGCAAAGCUAUUGGGUCCAAUUCUGUGUGGCGUACUUGGUAUCGACAUUUAAUGAAUUUAUGUGAUUGAAUGAGGAUAAAUUUUACUUUUAGAUCUUUUGCUUCUUGGAAGCUUGGGACUUGUUUUCUCAUUCGAGUGCUACAGUAUAUGAAUUGAUGGUUCUCUUUUCCUCUUACUAACUCAAUUAUACCCAUUCAUUAAAUAACUUAUAGCUGUAACGGACACUAGUGGUCUUGCUUUUCUAUAUCAUUUUAUGAACGAUGGUAAUUUUGGUAUGUGGUCUAUUUGAAUGUAGCUGAUAUCUGAAGGUCAUGAUGGCCACUUUGUUUAUUUGGGAGAACUUUGUUAAAUUCCAAUGCCAUGGCUUCUGGAUAUUUGAAUGAGUCGGUCCUGAACAAGUUAAUGAGGAAAAUCUUUUGGUGGUCAGAUUAUAUCCUGGUUGAUUUUCAUUUGAUUUUAUGUUAACUUCACAAUUUGGUCAUGGCAUUGUUUUAUUAACCAUGGAAGAUUCUUAUAUAUAUCCUAUUGGUUUGUCGAUACCUUACACAAUGCCUUGUGUGCAUAGAAUGGACACAUUGAAGAGGCACCUCCAUUUUCUGGGCCAAGAGGGUUUAAAUGACUCAGGAAAAAUCGCAGUAAAGGUUUUUCGAAGGAAAAGAUUUUUUACAGCAGCAAACAGCCAGGUAAUCAUAGAAUAUUGGCAUUCUUAACCUGCUUGGAUUGCCAUUGUUGUUUACCUAUAUUUUGUUUGUUUCGCGUUGUGUGUAUGUAUCUUUGUGUUUCUUUUUUUUCUUAUUUAAUAUGUAUACGAAUGCAUACACCUAGACUCCUUGUCAUUACAUUGGAAGUAAAAUAAGAAAAGAAAUCCAGGGAGUGAAAGGAGAGCAGAGGUAGGAAAAACAAAGAUGCCUAAAUGGAUAUUAAGCAUGGUUAAUAUAACAUAUUUGGACAAUCUUGUCUUGUAUUUGAAUAAUGAAGUAAAGCUUGUUUACUCUAAUGCUGUAGAUGGAUUUCUAUAUUCAGUCUGAUUAUCUAAGGAGAAUAUCCUUGAAGAUGCUUACUAUGGAGAAACAGUCUGAGAAUACCAUACCCAACACUGGGAAUAACAGCAAGGCCCCUGAUCCAGGUAAUUGCAGGAAACAGCAUUUUGCUUUGAUGUAAUCUAGAAGGAGGACAUUUUCCAUUUACAUGUCCUUUCUGUUCUUUAACAUGAAGAGUUGUUUAACUUGCAACAUUUAUGCACAUAUUCUUUCUGCAGCUAUUUGAAUGAAAAUUACCUAUAUUUUAACUCUUUUGUCCCCUUAACAAAGCGUGGUUGUUUUGGUGGGUUGGAGUUGUUUAAGGGAUAGAUUUGAUAAGCACCCAAAUAGAAAGCCCCAUUUGCUGUUCCCAUGAUUGAAGUCCUUCAGCAUGGGAUGCACCUCUUCAUGUGCUAGGCCUAGGAAUAAUUUUAUUAUUUUUUUCAUGAUCCUCAUGGUAUGGUUCAAUUGCCCUCACAGGUUUUAAGUCUAGUCAUCUUUUUGAAUGAAUUAAUUACUGCUUCAGUAUUUUUGUUGUUUAUCUUGUUCUAAAUGUUCUUCAAUUCAGUUCUUGUGGGUUCUUCCCAACUUUUCUUUCUGAAUAUAAGAAUCUUGGGUAGGUUCUGAGGGCAUGCAAAACCAAGUUCACAGUCAAGGGCAAUCAAUUCCUAUCCCAUUACAAAGUAAUCAGUCUCAAGCACAUCAACAACUGUUACCCCAGAGUGUUCCAAAUAACAUGUCAUCUGCUGGAGUUCAAAGUUCUACUGGUUUACAAUCUGGGAUGCCUUCUGUGUCUGGUCCAACCCAGAAUUCUAUACCUAAUGUUGUUGGCCAGAAUUCCAACAUGCAAAACUUGUCUGAAAUUUCACAGAACUCACUGGGGCAAGGGAUAUCUUCCAAUAUUUGUACUAAUCAUCAGAGGCAAAUGCAAGGAAGGCAACAGGUGCUACCGCAACAGCAGCAGCACCUUUGCUUGCAGGGUUCGAAAUUACCUGCACCUGACACACCUGGUAAUGGUAUGUCAACAUCACCUUUGCUUGCAGGGUUCGAAAAUGCUAAUGAUACUCACAGUAAUGCUUUAACAACUGAUUUUGGCGAGUCGAAGGAUACAGAAGAGCCACAUGUUCCCAGAGUUACCAUGGUUAGUGGAGCUUAAUUAAUUUUCAUUCUUCGCAUGCUCUUUUUUCAAUUUUCCCCUUUGACUUGAUAUGUUGUUCAUGUGGUGAAAGAGUGGUAAAAAAGCUUGAAAUCCUUCU